AUGAGCAUGAAUAUUGUUGAUCAUAGUAUUUGUGUUGCUUGCACCAUGGGACUUAUUUGUCAUCUUGGACACCUUGAUUGCGCACAUGUUAGUGAGAUUGCUUUCAUUCACGAUCGCCACUUUACCAUGCUUCAUGACAUAUAUACCUUGUGUGUUGCAUCCAACUCUUGGAUUACUUGCUCCUAUCAUAUGUUUGGUUGCAACAAUGUCAUUUCUUCACAUAUGCCAUGUCGCAUUGCUUGUCACAUGAUUGACUUCAUUACCUCACAUAUGAUGAACAAGUUCUCUUUCAAUUGUGUUGAGUGCCACACGAAUUUCACUACACCUAUGCAUGUUAUGCUUGGAUUGUCUCGCACUUGA
Molecule: ribosomal RNA, 360 nt
Filed under: Triticum aestivum (bread wheat)
Lineage: Eukaryota; Viridiplantae; Streptophyta; Magnoliopsida; Poales; Poaceae
Description: partial small subunit ribosomal RNA
Source: RNAcentral